Molecule: ribosomal RNA, 497 nt
Filed under: uncultured bacterium
Lineage: Bacteria
Description: partial 16S ribosomal RNA
Rfam family: Bacterial small subunit ribosomal RNA
Source: RNAcentral
GAUGAACGCUGGCGGCGUGCUUAAUACAUGCAAGUCGAGCGAACAGACGCGGCGCUUGCUCCUCUCUCGUUAGGGGAGGACGUGUGAGUCACACGUGGAUAACCUCCCUAUCAGACUGGUAUCAUCUCGGGACUCCGGCGCUAAUCCCGGAUAAUCUCUUGAACCGCAUGGUUCAAUAGUGAGAGACGGUUUUGCUGUCACUUAUAGCUGGUUCUGCGCCGCAUUAGCUAGUUGGUAAGGUAACGGCUUACCAAGGCAAGGAUGCGUAGCCGACGUGAGAGAGUGGUCGGCCACACUGGAGCUGGGACACGGUCCAUGCGCCUACGGGAGGCAGCAGUAGGGAAUCGGCCGCAAUGGGCGGGAACCUGACGGAGCAGCGCCGCGUGAGAGAUGAAAAUCUUCGGAUCGGAAAACUCUGUUAUGAGGGAAAAACAAAUGUGUAAGUAACUAUGCACGGCUUGACGGUACCGGGUCAGAAAGCCACGGCUAACUACGUG